UGUUGUGUACUUCACUGUUUUUAAUUAGCCUAUUGUUUAUGCUGUUUCUGUUCAGGGCCCACCUGGACCUGAAGGUUUGCCCGGUGUGCCGGGUGAGAAUGGACAAAGGGGUAGAAAAGGUGAUGCAGGAUUGCCGGGAGUUGAUGGUCUUCCAGGACCACCUGGUCCUCAGGGGCCUUCUGGGCCUCCUGGGAGCCCUGGACAAACAGGACCUCCAGUAAGUUUACAUGCAACAAAAUAAUACUGUUUUCAUUUGUUUUCAUUUACGAACUGAACUAGAGCCACAUAACAGUAGCAGAUGAUAUUAAAUUCAUCUGUUUGUUCACAUAGGGAUUACCUGGUGAAAUCGGCUUCUCAGGAAAACCAGGAGAAGCAGGAAAACCGGUGAGUCCCUCUGACUCAAA
Cyprinus carpio (common carp) is the source of this 404-nucleotide long non-coding RNA. The record is from Ensembl. NCBI's taxonomy places the organism in Eukaryota, Metazoa, Chordata, Actinopteri, Cypriniformes, Cyprinidae.